Molecule: unclassified non-coding RNA, 290 nt
Filed under: uncultured fungus
Lineage: Eukaryota; Fungi
Description: partial contains 5.8S rRNA, ITS2 and 28S rRNA
Rfam family: Eukaryotic large subunit ribosomal RNA
Source: RNAcentral
AAGGAGUCUAACAUCUAUGCGAGUGUUUGGGUGUCAAGCCCGAGCGCGCAAUGAAAGUGAACGGAGGUGGGAACCCUUUGGGUGCACCAUCGACCGAUCCUGAUGUCUUCGGAUGGAUUUGAGUAAGAGCAUAGCUGUUGGGCCCCGAAGGAUGGUGAACUAUGCUUGAAUAGGGUGAAGCCAGAGGAAACUCUGGUGGAGGCUCGCAGCGGUUCUGACGUGCAAAUCGAUCGUCAAAUUUGGGCAUAGGGGCGAAAGACUAAUCGAACCAUCUAGUAGCUGGUUCCUGC